This 253-nucleotide ribosomal RNA is filed under the name uncultured bacterium. RNAcentral's name for it is "partial 16S ribosomal RNA". It matches the Rfam family "Bacterial small subunit ribosomal RNA", at positions 524 to 776 of the family's 1533-position model. The record is from RNAcentral.
UACGGGGGGGGCAAGCGUUGUUCGGAAUUACUGGGCGUAAAGGGCUCGUAGGCGGCCAACUAAGUCAGACGUGAAAUCCCUCGGCUUAACCGGGGAACUGCGUCUGAUACUGGAUGGCUUGAGUUUGGGAGAGGGAUGCGGAACUCCAGGUGUAGCGGUGAAAUGCGUAGAUAUCUGGAGGAACACCGGUGGCGAAGGCGGCAUCCUGGACCAACACUGACACUGAAAAGCGAAAGCCAGGGGAGCAAACGGG